GGGGCUAUAGCUCAGUGAUAGAGCACUUGCUUCAUACAUGCAAGGCACUGAGUUCGAUCCUUAGCACCA
This 69-nucleotide transfer RNA is filed under the name Ictidomys tridecemlineatus (thirteen-lined ground squirrel). Its description in RNAcentral is "Spermophilus tridecemlineatus (thirteen-lined ground squirrel) tRNA". It matches the Rfam family "tRNA". Rfam says of the family: Transfer RNA (tRNA) molecules are approximately 80 nucleotides in length. Their secondary structure includes four short double-helical elements and three loops (D, anti-codon, and T loops). The record is from Rfam by way of RNAcentral. Lineage: Eukaryota; Metazoa; Chordata; Mammalia; Rodentia; Sciuridae.